This 497-nucleotide ribosomal RNA is filed under the name uncultured bacterium. RNAcentral's name for it is "partial 16S ribosomal RNA". It matches the Rfam family "Bacterial small subunit ribosomal RNA", at positions 28 to 507 of the family's 1533-position model. The record is from RNAcentral.
GAUGAACGCUGGCGGCGUGCCUAAUACAUGCAAGUCGAGCGAACGGACGAGAAGCUUGCUUCUCUGAUGUUAGCGGCGGACGGGUGAGUAACACGUGGAUAACCUACCUAUAAGACUGGGAUAACUUCGGGAAACCGGAGCUAAUACCGGAUAAUAUUUUGAACCGCAUGGUUCAAAAGUGAAAGACGGUCUUGCUGUCACUUAUAGAUGGAUCCGCGCUGCAUUAGCUAGUUGGUAAGGUAACGGCUUACCAAGGCAACGAUGCAUAGCCGACCUGAGAGGGUGAUCGGCCACACUAGAACUGAGACACGGUCCAGACUCCUACGGGAGGCAGCAGUAGGCAAUCUUCCGCAAUGGGCGAAAGCCUGACGGAGCAACGCCGCGUGAGUGAUGAAGGUCUUCGGAUCGUAAAACUCUGUUAUUAGGGAAGAACAUAUGUGUAAGUAACUGUGCACAUCGUGACGGUACCUAAUCAGAAAGCCACGGCUAACUACGUG